Molecule: long non-coding RNA, 455 nt
Filed under: Populus trichocarpa (black cottonwood)
Lineage: Eukaryota; Viridiplantae; Streptophyta; Magnoliopsida; Malpighiales; Salicaceae
Description: long non-coding RNA (PTRI_LNC002546)
Source: RNAcentral
GAACAAUUUGACACUCAUUUCGAUCUUUUCUGAAAUGGAAAUAUUAGCGCAUUCAGUUAAUGGUUUAGAGUAAAUAAAUUUAAUUGUUUAAAAGCGUACUGGGGAUGGUGCAGGAGCUGUGUCCUCAGAUGCUGUUGUCACUGUAGGUGGGGCUGGGGGGCUGGGGGGGUUUGGUGCAGGAGCUGGUGCAUGAUGAUGAUGCUUGUGCUUGUGUUUUCUUUUCAUCUUGUGUUUUCCAGGAGCUGGUGCUGGGGAAGGCACUAAUGAUGGUGAGGGGGCUGGUGGUGGAAUAGCUGGUGCUGGCACAGGUGCCGGUGGUGGUGUUGCUGGUGCGGGUGCAGGUACUUCCUUAGCUGGAGCUGGUGCUGGUGGUGGUGUUGCUGGAGCUGGUGCUGGAGACACUUGUGGUGGCGGUGUAGCUGGUGGUGGUAUUGGAGUGGCAGCUGGAGAACUUU